This 291-nucleotide ribosomal RNA is filed under the name uncultured bacterium. RNAcentral's name for it is "partial 16S ribosomal RNA". It matches the Rfam family "Bacterial small subunit ribosomal RNA", at positions 335 to 644 of the family's 1533-position model. The record is from RNAcentral.
AAACCUACGGGGGGCAGCAGUGGGGAAUUUUGCGCAAUGGGGGAAACCCUGACGCAGCAACGCCGCGUGCGGGACGACGGCCCUCGGGUUGUAAACCGCUUUCAGUGGGGACGAUGGUGACGGUACCCACAGAAGAAGCUCCGGCUAACUACGUGCCAGCAGCCGCGGUAAUACGUAGGGAGCGAGCGUUAUCCGGAUUCAUUGGGCGUAUAGCGCGCGUAGGCGGCUGCCUAAGCGGAACGUCUAAUCCCGGGGCUCAUCCUCGGGCCCGGUUCCGAACUGGGCGUCCCG